RNAcentral lists this ribosomal RNA (576 nucleotides) under uncultured bacterium. RNAcentral describes it as "bacterial SSU rRNA". It matches the Rfam family "Bacterial small subunit ribosomal RNA", at positions 102 to 674 of the family's 1533-position model. The record is from RNAcentral.
ACGGGUGAGUAAUACAUCGGAACGUGCCCAAGAGUGGGGGAUAACGGAGCGAAAGCUUUGCUAAUACCGCAUACGAUCUACGGAUGAAAGCAGGGGACCGCAAGGCCUUGCGCUCAUGGAGCGGCCGAUGGCAGAUUAGGUAGUUGGUGGGAUAAAAGCUUACCAAGCCGACGAUCUGUAGCUGGUCUGAGAGGACGACCAGCCACACUGGGACUGAGACACGGCCCAGACUCCUACGGGAGGCAGCAGUGGGGAAUUUUGGACAAUGGGCGCAAGCCUGAUCCAGCCAUGCCACGUGCAGGAUGAAGGCCUUCGGGUUGUAAACUGCUUUUGUACGGAACGAAAAGCCUCUUUCUAAUAAAGAGGGGUCAUGACGGUACCGUAAGAAUAAGCACCGGCUAACUACGUGCCAGCAGCCGCGGUAAUACGUAGGGUGCGAGCGUUAAUCGGAAUUACUGGGCGUAAAGCGUGCGCAGGCGGUAAUGUAAGACAGAUGUGAAAUCCCCGGGCUCAACCUGGGAACUGCAUUUGUGACUGCAUUGCUGGAGUGCGGCAGAGGGGGAUGGAAUUCCGCGU